AAAUAAGAUAAUUCUUAUAUAUAUUUUGUUGUUAUCUGAAAACAAUAUUUUUAUUAUAAAAGUUAAAAAGAUACAAAAAAAUUAAUUAAAUAUUAUUCAAGAAAAAAACAUUUAUAUAAACAUAUUUUCUAAACUAUUUCUAAGAUAUGAGUGUUUUAAAAAAUUUAACACGGGAUGUUUAGAACACGGGAUUAUACUUAUGAGAGAGUGGCUCGGGAGUGGUCUAGGAGAUGGGUCUAAUGGGCUGCGAAUUGUUGAAUUUUUUUUUUAAUUGCAAGCCUACUUCGUGAUGACCUGGCAUAUAGGUUGGUCAUGAAUAUUUGUGCACAUGUGGAUAGGCUUAGGAAGCAAUGAUUUAGCUCCUUUUAUAUAGUAGGAUAAAAGAAGUAGAGAGGGCACCUCGAACCCAGGUUUACUGAAUAACUCUUCUAACGCAUAGCCACUGCUACCAACACAAUUUUUAACGGAAGAAAAUGUUGGUCAAGCAAAAGAAAGAUACCUGUUAUACAUGCAAGCACAUCCAUUUAUUAUUGUAACCAAUUGAUAUGGGCGAGUGAUUUCUUAUUGUUGAAGAUUUUUUUUUGUUAUUCUAUACAACGAAACAAAUCAUCUCAAGCAUCAACCCUAUCACUGUUUCACUUGGUCACAAUUCCAUUAAUUUCCAAAGAGUCCUUAUAAGAAAGACAACUGCUUAAAAGUAGCAGAAAAACUGUUAUUCUCGCAAACUUAAUCUUAAUCUUAACCAGCAUGGGUAUAAUUAAUCGGUAGAAUACGAAAUUUUUUCAUAAAUAGUAUACACACAAAAAAUUGUGCUACAUCAUCAUAAUGUUAGUUUCUUUGAGAAAAGGAUCCCCCCUUCAUGUGUUGUUAAUUCUACAACUACCACUUACAUAAAUAUAUGGUGUUUCCAUUAAUCAACUACCCAAAUUAAUGGAAUUGUGGACAGCCUUGAUUUGAUGGAAAAUUUAAAUGAAACUAUUAAAUCCCAACCAACAUAGUGGUGUGUGCAAUUUAUGGGAGAGUUAAUAAGAAAUACAUAGAUAGAACUGUUAGUGAAAAUAUAAGCAAAAUAUCCAAAUGUCUAGGAUCAAAUUCUCAGAUGGACCACAUGGGUAAAAAAAAAUCUGAUUUAGCCCUCUUUUUUUUUACAUUAAAAUUUAAAUACAAAACAAAGGUAAAUAACUAAAAAACAAAAAGACAUCAACUUAUUUACUAUCCGUGCCACUAUUAUUCGACCCGUAAUUUGACCCAAUAACCCGACCCGGUUUUAACCCAAAUUCUUUUUUCUUCUUCUUCCUCUUCCUCCAUUUAUGUUUCUUUAAUUUCUUCACUUAAAAGCAAAAUCAAAAUUUUUAUUCAAAUAUUCGCUGAUUUUCUUUUUCUUAUCUCAAAUCGAUCAACCUAUAGUCAUAUUUAAUCAAUUCUAUCUUAUUCGAAAUCAAAUUUAGUGUUUUAUGUUCGAGUUCAUGGUGAAGAAGAACACAUAAUAUUACUAGUACAACUAGUACAGCUCAAACUAGUACAAUUUAAACUAGUAUAACAACUAGUACAAGUCAAACCAGUAUAACUAGUACAACUAGAACUAGUAUAACAUGUACAAUUUUGUAAUUAAUAUGGUGAUAUUUUUUUUUUGUUUUCAGUGUGAAUGAUGCUAUAAGAUAUAAUAAUGUGGAACUAGUGAGACAUGUUGGUCUAAUCAUUCUCCGAUUGAAUGUGUCAAAAUACAUAAAUAGUUUAUUUUCAGUAAUAGUUGAUUUGAUAAUGAUUUGUUUACAAGUUGUAUUAGUUAUACAAGUUGUACCAUUUCAAAAAAAAAUUCAACAUCAUAUUUUUGGUCACAAAGCCGAAGAAAGUAGCCUUAGAGCCGGAAAGUUGCAGUAGAAAGACAUUUAGAAGAGUAUGCAAAAGAUUAUGUAAAAAUCAUCAUUAGUUCGAAAAGGAUGCAUACGCAUUCAUGAAAAUAAGAUAAGAAAUUGACCAAUUGUAAAUACAUAUAGAAAAAGGAUAUGGUAAACUUGCAUAUUUCGACAUGAAGAGAUAACAUAUCAAUAUUUAUUGUAUUUCCAUCAAGAGGAUGAAAGCCUAUAAAACAAAAAAUUUAUAAGAAAAUAAUGAAUUAUGUAUGACAAGUAUAUCAUAAUCAAGAGGAUCAAAUAACUUUUUAUUCUUAUAUUUUUUUUAAAUUAACAAAGUUCACUCAGUAUAUCAUAAUACUUUUAAUUAAAAAAUAUUGUAUAAACAAAUAAUUGACAAGUGAUAAUGAUAUAUAUGAAUGGGACAACUAGUACAACUACUCAAUGUUAGUGUUCAACCACAAUGUUUAAAACAUGAUACACAUUUAAAACGUGAUACACAUUUAAGAUAAUACUAAAUAAAUUAACAAGUAGUUGUACCAGUUUUCUAGUUAUAUCGACGAUAUAUAGUUGUACUAGUUUUUCAGUUAUACUAGUUUGUGAAUAGUUGUAUUUUGGCAGUGAAAUCGAAAAAUAUUAGUUGUACCACAUAAUAAAUACAAUUACCUUAGUUGUACCACUUAUUUGUGUUUACAUGACAUUGUCCGGUUACAAUGAAAUCAUCCAUUUCGUAAAAAUACAUUUCAUGUAUGUUUUUCAAAAUUUAUGUGGAUAAAUAAGUUAAUAAACCUUAAAAGUAUAAUGUAGAUCAUGUAAACUUAUGGAAUUGUGUAAUUAUUUUAUUUUUAUUUUCAAAACUUCAAAAAAAUUAAGAAAAACUUUUUGAGGACGUACCAAUUGGGAUAUGUGAUUGUUUUUCUCAUAUGGAAUACCAAAUUAGUUUUAUCAAUUUUUGAAAUGUCAAAGUUGUACAUGUUGUACCACUAAUACUUGUCUACUAUAUAAUAAAAAUUAUAUCAAUUGUUUAUAUAUUUAGUUUUAGGGGUUUUACCAAUAUUUUCACAUCUUAACUUUGUAAAAAUAUGUUUGAUGUUUGUUUACAUUAGUUGUAUAAUGUAAUAAUAUAACAAAAUAUUAAAAACCCUUAAAUAAAAUAGAUGAAAUUUUAUCACCAUAAAUAAAUUAAGAUAUCUUUUUAUUUAUUUCAUAUGAAAAACGUGAUUUAUUAGUCGUGUUAGUUUCAACAGUUUUAUAUUAUACAUGAAUUACGGAUAGCUUAGCCCGUAGCGCUAGGAAGAAAACGUCUUUUGUAGUUCACAUGGAUCAAGAUCUCCCAGUUUGGUUCACAAAGUCUAUAUGAGUCUGUAAAGUGGAUGACAAAAAAUAUAUAUAUAUAUAUAUAUAUAUAUAAUACAUGAAUUAUAUAUAAUUUAUAUACCAAUUAUAUCAGUUAUAAUAGUUAUAUCAUUUAUUAACAUAUUUAAUUGUACGAGUUAUACUGAUUAUAUACAUCUAAAUGAGAAAAAAGAAAUCGUGUGGUCGUAAUUGAAGAUGAGAAAAAUGAUCCUAACGUUGAAGAAAGAAGAGGUGGGUCCAUGCCAAAAGAAAGAAGGAGAGGAGAAUGAUCGUGUGGUUACGAUUAAAAGAUAUGUGAGAUGAUCUAGUGGUUGAGAGUGCAUUUUCAUUAAUGGCAAUAUUGUCAUCCCUCUCUCCUAAAGUUCAUCACUGUAGUGCGGGCCCCACGUGUCGUGGCGGCCCGCGAUUGGUCUAGUUUUUUUUUUUAAAAAAAAUCAAAAAGAAAAAGAAAAAAAUUUAAUAAUAAAAAAUAGAAAAGAUGAACCCCAAGAAGAGGUUCAUUGUAGAUGCUCUUAGGUCUAUUUCAGAAUUUUGUCCAAAUGUUUACGAACUUGUGCUGUUAGAUUUCUUUUUCAUUUGGUUAAUUGAGCGAUCCACCGAAAUCUGUUUUUUUUUUCUUUCUUUUUUUGAACAACACAGAAAUCUGUUUCAAAACUCAGAUAUGAGGAGGAUUUAAACUUACACUUCUCGUAAUAAUAAAACACAAUUAAACCAACAAACAAAAAACAUCUUCAAAUGCAGCUUUACGGUUUCGAAGAAGGAACAAAUCUAAAAACUGAACACACCUAAUUAAUAUGUUUAUUUUUAACAGAAAUAGUUACUAAAAAGCUCUUUAGAUCAAUGGAAAAAUUAGAAGAUAAAUCUAAAUUUUAUGGUCUCUAUAUUUGUUAGAGACUUGUAUGUCUUGUUGUUAGAUGGAGAUUGAUCGGUGUCGAGUAACUUCAUUAAAAACAACUUUUUUAUAAAGUUCACUUUAAAAAAUUGAAAUGAAUUGAGAUGAAAAAAAGAGAGAAUUGAGAUGGUGAACAUUGUUAGUUUUAUUUUUUGUGUGCUCAUUAACAUUAUUGUUCGUACAGUCUCUACUCUCUAAGUUCCCACCGGUGAGAUAUUGAAUUAUAGUUGAACUAAAACAAAAGUUACAAUUUGAUGUAAUUCGUAGUAAAAACUAUAUGAUAAAAACUGUAAAUCUACUGUAAAAAUAUGAGUUAUUAUAUUUUCAAAAUCAUUGACUGGCAAUAUUUUUGACGUAUAAAUUGCAAUAUGUAUUAUUAAUCCUAAACAAUAAUCAAUAAACCCAAAUAUUAUAAUAUUUUUGAUUGGCUGUAUUUUCUAAAAUGGGUAUUUAAGAUAGUGUAUCUUAAGCAAUUUCUCAAAAAAUAAAUUAACUGCUAAUAUAUUGAAUUUUGUUUGAUAUUGAAUUAUCAGUUAAGUUAUCAACUAUUUUAUAAAAAGUAAUUCAAAAUUAUAACUCAAGGAUAAUACAUUAUAACUCAAAUUUUAAUUCAAAAAAUUAAAACUAAUUCAUGGCUAAUAAUAUUUUGAGUUAUAUUCCUAACUCAAACUUACUCAAUUCUAGCUUAUAUUAUCAUCGAUCGAAGCUAAAGUUUUCUCUUUUAAAAAAUAGCAACUUCCAAUAAACUAUCUACAUUCAAUGGUGUUAUUUCUAAAUAUUUAGGUAUUCGUCGUGUUCUUCAAAAAAAAAAGUUACAAACAAAAAAACUGUGAAAAGUCUUAAAAGCCAAAAUUUCAGGUGACAACGAAAAGCGAUAAAAACAAGUUGAUAAAAAAGAGAGUUUAAAAGCUAGUUUCAGGUGAAAUAAAAAAGCUGAAACUUGUCAGUACCAGUUGGUGCCUUUUAUCCUGCUUUAAGUAAUAAAAAGGGACUAAAAGACUCCCAGUUUUAGGCUCCAAAUGGUAAAAGCGGAUUCAGCGGUGCGGGACAAGCGGUUUGACUGCGGUGCGGUUUUGACAGUUAUAAAAAUGUAUAAAUAUAUGAUAUAUACAGAGAUUUUUGUUACUGUUAACUGCGCUGCGGUGCGGGACGAAUAUUACCAUUCGAAGCCUUAGACUCUUCCUCGAUGGACUGUAUAUGAAGUUAGGUGCAUCUCUAAGAAGAUCAUAAAUUUAAGGGAAUCAAUCACCUUUAAAAUAAAUGGCUAAAUGGAUACUACUGAUUUAACAGUGACUUUAAAACUUUUAAAAAGAAUUCUUAUUUUUAUUUUCAAUAUUUUCAAUAAUUAACUAGAAUUAUUAUUUUUUUCAAAAACUAAUAAUGCAUGCCGCUUAAAGUAUUAAAAUAAAAUAUUUUUAAAAUUGUAUUACGUGAUUAAAUGUGACCACAAAUUCUAAAUAACUGCUUUCUUAACAUCUAUUAUACACACAUAUAUAUAUAUAUAUAAUUAUAAAAAUAAAAAUGAAAUAAUAAAUAGUGUUCUGAAACUGUAUUAUUCAGUUCUUUAAGAUUUGAAGGAUUAUCUGAAACAAUAUAAAAUACCUUGUAUGUUCACAUAAUCUUUUUCAGAGCUCAUCUCGACCCAAGUAAAGUCUCAAGUCUCAUUAUCGAUCUUUCUUUUUGCAGAAUUUUAAAUAAAAAGUAGUAUCGUUAUAGAAUUUUUUUUUCAAAAAUAGUAUCGUUUUAUGUUUUUAGUGCAGAAUUUUAAAUAAAUAUUCAUUUUGACCUCAUUAUAUUAAUAUAUUAAUUAGAGAGGAAAAAAUAUUUGGGGUCAGAUUGGGGUUUGGCUAUUGAGACUUUAUAUUAAAUCUAAAGUCUUUGAAGUCAAAUAUUUAUCAAACAAACCUCAAAACUUCCUUUAAUAUUUCAAAUCACAAUAACUGAAUUUACUCGCCUUUACUCUUCCCGUAAAUUGUUACUAGCUUUUGAUCUGCGCGCCCGAGCGGGUGUAUCUUCUAUAUAAUUAUAUGUUUUUGUUUGUUGUAAGAAAUAUAACUGUGUUUCAUAUAUUAUCUAUUGGUGUAUCUUUGUAAUUUUGUUUAGUGUCCAUUGCUUAACUAUCAGGUUGUAUACUUAUUUUAUUGUAUCUUUUUUUUUUAAUUUUAGUUGGUAACAUUUGACAAUAAAAUGUUUAAUAAUAGAGUAUUUUGUUGAGAAAAUGUGUGUUGGAUAUAAAUUUACUAUAUAUGUAGAUUGUUAAAAUUUAUAUUUAAAUAAUUAAUAUUUAUUUUUUAAAUAAAAUAUUUAGACAGCAACAAUAUUAACUAUUGUAAAGGUAAGGAAAGAAAUAUUUUUAUAAACAAUCUAUAGCAAUUAUAUAUAGCUAUACAAAAUUAAUAAAUUGAAUUGGGCCCUUUUGUUAUGAAUUAUAAAUAAGAAAAUCAUAUUUAAGAAAAAUGAUAUUGGACCUUAUACAUUCAAGGAAGCCCAUUAAACUAUUAUUUCCAAGAAAAAAAACAGAAAAAUGCCUUGUACGACUAUUUUUUUUGUUCCCAUAGAAAAUUCUGUUUCUUCAACCUAUCUCUUCGUCUUUGCCGUCCGUUUUCCUGGCGAGAACUGCACAAACAGUUGUGAAGUUUUCACUUAAAGGAGAACCAGAGUCUAGAUCUAUUGAUGACUACUCGAGAUUUUGGGAUACAGAGGUCUGUAAUACCAAGAACGUUCAAUCGGUUUAAUCAUGAAGAAACAACAUCAGCCCCUUACAGAUUGGUUAAGAAUCAGGCUGAACUUUGGUUUGUUCGCGGAUCGCAAAGAAUUAUUUCGAGGAUGUGAGAUCUGUAUUCAUUCCUAAGGUAAGUCUAAUCUACGAUAUUCUGUUUAAUAUAAUAGAUUGAUAAUCAAACUAAGAUAAAAUAGAAAUCAAAAAUCUUGAUCUUUAGAGUAGGAUGGAAUUAGUUAACAAAAUAUAGUUCUAAAAUAGACAAACAAUUCAGUAGGGAGAAACAGAGGGACAGGGGACAUAAGUGAUCAAUAGAAAAACUCGGGCAGAUACAUGGUGAAGGAGAGAGAGAUAAGAAUAUGUUGUAACAUCACAUAACAAAGGGAAGGCACACUAACCAUGAAGUAAAUCUUAAAUGGAUGUGUUCUUAUUUAAAUUCAUUGGAACAUCAUUUAAGAGGAAUUGAGCCGAAUGAUUUGGUUUUCACGUUAUGGGGAAAGAGAUAUAUAUAUAGGUAGUGAGUAAAGUUAGGGUUAACGCCACAAAACCAAUUAAGAUGUUGGUAGUUGUGAUUUUUUUAUCAUUAAUAGAGAAAGUACGGAUCGAUUUUGUUCCCAAAAUUGUUUUGCUUGUUAUGGAGUUACCGUAAUCACAGGGUUGUAGAUAUUUAUUGAGUCGAUACUAAACCUGAUUGGCAAGAUUACAAAUAAUAUAAAAAUAUUUUCGUAUUUGAUUAACAUCGCUAUUGUUAUGGAGAAUGCUUAAAAAUAGGAAUAUAUUUGGGCAAGUAUAUUCGUUUAGUAUAUUAUCGACUUGUUUAAGUUACCUUUGAUUAAUUAAUAAUGAUAUAACUUAUGAUCUACAUAUUGAUAUUGUGAGGAUUAAUUGACUCGGCAAUGACAUGGAGUUGUAGCGAUCAAAAUUGGGGUUUUGAUUCUUCAUACCAACAUAAACCAGAAAAUUAUCUAAACCGAUAUUAGAUGUUUAAGUGUAAUUCUGGAAAGCUACGUAGGAGUGUCUCUAUUGACUCUAUAGAUUCAGUAGACAAAUAUGAACUAAGAUAGUAUCACAAUCGAAUUCGAUGUUGUAUGUUUUAGAAUUUAGAAUGACAAUAACUAUGAUUAAGAUGGUUUUGUAAUGUUCUGGUUUACUACUGUUUCUUUAAUUAUAUCUGUUAGUAACUACUUUAAAUUAUUGGUAGGAUAGUCGUAUGAUGCUAAUUAUAAUUGUAUUGUCAUUGGACGGUUUACUAAUACAGAAAACGAUGGUCUUGGUUUACUAAAUAAAUGAAUACGCUGAGUUUUAACUCCAGUGGCAUAGAGUGGUAAUUUUUGUGGAAAAGUCAGGGCUAUAUACAAAGUGUACUUUAGUCUUAAUAGUUUAGAUGUAAAUAGUUUUAAAAAACAACAAUUUAUGAGUUUUUUUUAAGGGACAAUUAGCUUUUUAAAGCCUAAAAAUUGUAAAGCAAAUUUAUUGUAAAGCCAAAGUCAUCAAAGUUGCAAACAAUCGGACUCUUCGUGUGUGAGAGCAUCUACAACCCAUAACACUAUUUUAGUGUUAAAACCACACUAUUUUAAUGUAGUUUCAACACUAAAAACAAAUUCAUCUCCAACCACAACACUAAACUUUACACUAAAAGAUAUUUAUAAUAUUAUAUUUAUUUAAUUUAUUUAAUUUUUCGUUUUUAAUAAUAUAAUUUAUUAAUAAAGUAAGUGAAUAGUGUUUUAGUGGAAUGAAUAGUGUUUUAGUGUGAUGAAUAGUGUUACAUCAAAUUUGGUGUGAAAUUAUACUGUUACACUAAAAUGAUGUGAUUUUUAGUGUUGGGUUGGAGAUGGUUUUGGUGUAAAAUUCCCACUAAAUAGUGUUUUGGAGUUGGGUUGGAGAUGACCUGAGUAAAAGAUACAAUGAUUUUUUAAAUAAUUUUUUAAGAAAAAUUCUUGGGUUCACCCCCUAGGUGAACCUAGAGGUUCACCAACCAAUAGUGGUUGAGUAUUUGAUAUUUGAUAUCUUUUAAAAAAGGAAAUAAAAUUGAAUUUCCAAAUAUGAUAUAAAUUUUUAAAAUAAAAUAAUAAAAAUACAUAAAUAUAGUUACAAAAAAUAAAUAAAUAAAUAUUGUUAAAAUGUUAACAAAAUACUAAAUCCUAUACCCUAAAUUUUAAACUCCAAACCCUAAAUUAUAAACCUUAAAUCUUGGAUAAACCGUAAACCAUUGGAAAAUUUUAAACCCUAAAUCAUACAUCAAAACUAAAUCUUAAUAACACUAAACCCUAAACCCUAAUCACUAAACCCUAAACCCUU
This is a long non-coding RNA of Brassica rapa (field mustard), 9118 nucleotides long. RefSeq lists it as uncharacterized. The record is from RefSeq and is a predicted model, not a curated record. NCBI's taxonomy places the organism in Eukaryota, Viridiplantae, Streptophyta, Magnoliopsida, Brassicales, Brassicaceae.